AACCACAGCCAAGGGAACGGG
This 21-nucleotide non-coding RNA is filed under the name Arabidopsis thaliana (thale cress). RNAcentral also lists the same sequence under 1 other name. Lineage: Eukaryota; Viridiplantae; Streptophyta; Magnoliopsida; Brassicales; Brassicaceae. The record is from RNAcentral.